CCUACGGGGGGCAGCAGUGGGGGAUAUUGGACAAUGGGGGGAACCCUGAUCCAGCGACGCCGCGUGAGUGAAGAGGUAUUUCGGUAUGUAAAGCUCUAUCAGCAGGAACGAGACAAGACGGUACCUGACUAAGAAGCCCCGGCUAACUACGUGCCAGCAGCCGCGGUAAUACGUAGGGGGCAAGCGUUAUCCGGAAUCACUGGGUGUAAAGGGAGCGUAGACGGCUGAGCAAGCCUGAAGUGAAAGGCGGGGGCCCAACCCCUGGACUGCUUUGGGAACUGUCCGGCUGGAGUGCAGGAGAGGUA
This 305-nucleotide ribosomal RNA is filed under the name uncultured bacterium. Its description in RNAcentral is "partial 16S ribosomal RNA". It matches the Rfam family "Bacterial small subunit ribosomal RNA", at positions 338 to 659 of the family's 1533-position model. The record is from RNAcentral.